CGUACGGCUGUGCUCUCCCUCCUCCUCCACCUCCUGAGUAUUCCUGGCGGGCAGCGAUGGGCAAGCAGAAGAGACGCAACGCCUUCUUCUACUUCAUGACGGCCAAGAAACCCGAGGUGGAGAAGCGGCUCAAGAGAAAGGUGGAGAUGGCCAAGCUGGUGACGGCGGAGUGACAGGGGAACGGCUGGCUGUCUGACCCGCAGCAGACCAAGAGCAGAAUUACACUGGAGAGCACAGUGGUCACCCAGCAGACCAGCAGCAAACACCAGAAAAUGAGAAAAAUUGUCCCUCAAUGCUUGAAGGACGGUUACUCUGGGCUGCUCCACGUGGCUGCUCCAUCUGCCGGGGCCGACGAUGCAAGUCUCCCUUUCAGAAUUCACCACAACCAAGUGUUACCAAGUGAGGCGAGGAUGGCCCAGGGCACCACCACCACCAUCGCCACAGUCACCUCCAGAAAGCAACACCGCAUCAUUUUUUUUUUUCACAGCUAAAGAAUCGCCUCAAGGGCAACAAAAAAGGUGUAAAAUAAAAAGCCCGCUAAUCGCUGAUCCCACAAAGACAAUAGUGAAAGGUGGCCAAA
Long non-coding RNA from Eriocheir sinensis (Chinese mitten crab), 580 nucleotides. RefSeq lists it as uncharacterized. The transcript has 3 exons. The record is from RefSeq and is a predicted model, not a curated record. Lineage: Eukaryota; Metazoa; Arthropoda; Malacostraca; Decapoda; Varunidae.